RNAcentral lists this long non-coding RNA (882 nucleotides) under Polistes fuscatus (common paper wasp). RNAcentral's name for it is "uncharacterized LOC122526723, transcript variant X2". The record is from RNAcentral. Lineage: Eukaryota; Metazoa; Arthropoda; Insecta; Hymenoptera; Vespidae.
GCCCUGCUGGGCCAUUAACAAAGAGACACUCGUCCUAUUCUUACAAUGGUUUAUUAUACUUAUUACAUACGGUGGUGAUUGAUGUUAAGAAAAUGUGAAUAUUUUCAAAAACAUUGAUUUUUUGAGAAUAUUAGUAAUAAAAGUCUUUCUGGAGGUUAAUCGAGUUUUUUGAGGUUAACUGUUGGAAAAAUAAAGCGAGUUGCCUAUCUUGGUAUCUCAGGCGUCUCCGAUACAGUGGUACCAAACCACUUAGUUUUUAGUAAGUUGGCAGAUGGUGUAAUAAAGCAGUUAGCGCGGCGCGGUACAGGAGGUAGCCACGUGUUGAGUUGCAAUAUUAUGUAAUUUCUCAGUUAUGUUAAAUAAAUACCUUUUUCAACGAUACUGCGUAUUUCAGUUUAAUUGGAUAACCCGACAUUAACUAAGUUUUUUGGAGGUUAAUCGAGUGAUCAUCAAUUUAGGUUGAAAAUGAAUAAACUGGAUAACAUGCUGUGCGAUUUCUUUUAUGCCUUAACCAUACGAUGACAAUUUUCUGAUUUUAAUCUAAGUAUACCGAUGAAUUACACAUCAUUCUUUUUAUCCUGAUAUUAUAACAGACAAUAGUUUAGCUAAGUAUGCGGCUCUUACAUUUUGUAUUCAAAUCAAAGACUGUAACACAUCCAAGGAAAAGACUCCAUUCCAGCAUCGGAUCUAUGCAUAUAAAUUUUAUUUUCCAUUAGUUAAUGAUAUAAAAAUUUCUUUUAACUAAUGUCUCCUUCGUAGAGAUUUCAUGUGAAUUAUUAUGCCAAUAGAAUUCAACCACAGUUACAAGGAAUAUGCAAGACAUGAAUCUGUUAAAAGAUGAUCAAUCAUUUUGCUGGAAGAGAGAGCGCAUUAUUUUCAACA